This 497-nucleotide ribosomal RNA is filed under the name uncultured bacterium. RNAcentral describes it as "partial 16S ribosomal RNA". It matches the Rfam family "Bacterial small subunit ribosomal RNA", at positions 28 to 507 of the family's 1533-position model. The record is from RNAcentral.
GACGAACGCUGGCGGCGUGCCUAAUACAUGCAAGUAGAACGCUGAAGAGAGGAGCUUGCUCUUCUUGGAUGAGUUGCGAACGGGUGAGUAACGCGUAGGUAACCUGCCUUGUAGCGGGGGAUAACUAUUGGAAACGAUAGCUAAUACCGCAUAACAAUGGCUGACACAUGUCAUUUAUUUGAAAGGGGCAAUUGCUCCACUACAAGAUGGACCUGCGUUGUAUUAGCUAGUAGGUGAGGUAAUGGCUCACCUAGGCGACGAUACAUAGCCGACCUGAGAGGGUGAUCGGCCACACUGGGACUGAGACACGGCCCAGACUCCUACGGGAGGCAGCAGUAGGGAAUCUUCGGCAAUGGGGGCAACCCUGACCGAGCAACGCCGCGUGAGUGAAGAAGGUUUUCGGAUCGUAAAGCUCUGUUGUAAGUCAAGAACGGGUGUGAGAGUGGAAAGUUCACACUGUGACGGUAGCUUACCAGAAAGGGACGGCUAACUACGUG